This is a long non-coding RNA of Mesocricetus auratus (golden hamster), 1006 nucleotides long. RefSeq lists it as uncharacterized. Lineage: Eukaryota; Metazoa; Chordata; Mammalia; Rodentia; Cricetidae. The transcript is spliced from 4 exons. The record is from RefSeq and is a predicted model, not a curated record.
CCCGGGAAGGAUGGUUCGCUGGUCUGUGGACCACAUUUUGAAUGAGUAGGAGCAGCAUGAUUCAACUCUGAAGUCAGGAAAGCUCGUUGACACUGACAGAAAUAGGACUUACUGCCCGAUGCAGCAGAAGGGCUGGAGCAUCACUACGGUAUAUUUGAACGAGUCGCAAGGCUUCCUGCAGGAGCAGGGGUUCCAGUGCUGGAAAAUAUGAAGACAAAUCCUAUCCCAGAGCAUGACCCUGAAGUCCAAGUGGAGAAAUUCUGACAGGCGCUUUCCUGGGCCUGGCACAGAAAGACUGGGGCAGGCAGACCUGUGCCUACUCUUCCCAGGGAAGCUGUUUGGUGUCCCUCCCUGACAGCACCAUCUACUUAAGGCCACAAAGCAUUUCUAUUCAUCCUCCUAUUUUUUACAUUGUGACAACAAAUGAGUGAAUUCAUCCGUGGCCAAAUACAUCGAGGAAUCACUGAUAUUUCCAGCAAAGACAAUGACUCAGGGGACUUGUCCUCAACAUAAGAGGGUUUAUUUUAAAAAGUAGCUCAGCCUCACCUCAAUACUAAGAUGUUGGAACAUACCACUACUGUUUGGAAAACAAAUAGCUUAAUGUAAAUAUCACAAAAAUCUGUCUAAAUUUUAACAAGGGGACACACCCAUCAUGCUCAAAUAGCCUCUAAUAGCUCCUGAUAGAACAUAGGCUACAGUGAUUUUAUAUUCAGGCUAAGCUUCUUCAAAUUACCACAAAGAACAAAUGAAUAAAUCAGAACAAUGUAGCAACUGGGGGACUGGUCCAUGUGACACAGAAAAUAGCAUCUGUGGUCUACUUCUUAGCAUUUCAGUCAAAACAGACUCUGGACUAGAGACAGUAUGAGAUAUGAAAGAAUCCAUGUUUUACUGAGUUCUCUCUUUGAUGGCAUGGAAAGAACUGUAUCAGUCCUGUGAGCUAAUGGUCUAGAAAACACACACACACACACACACACACACACACACACACACAUAUACCACACACAUA